CCUGCAUGAAUGGCGUAACGAGAUGGGAGCUGUCUCAAAGAGGGAUCCAGUGAAAUUGUAGUGGAGGUGAAAAUUCCUCCUACCCGCGGCAAGACGGAGAGACCCCGUGGACCUUUACUACAGCUUGACACUGCUAUUUGGAUAAGAAUGUGCAGGAUUAGGUGGGAGGCUUUGAGUGUAUGACGCCAGUUGUAUAUGAGCCAUUGUUGAGAUACCACUCUUUCUUAUUUGGGUAGCUAACCAGCUUGAGUUAUCCUCAAGUGGGACAAUGUCUGGUGGGUAGUUUGACUGGGGCGGUCGCCUCCCAAAUAAUAACGGAGGCUUACAAAGGUUGGCUCAAAACGGUUGGAAAUCGUUUGUAGAGUAUAAAGGUAUAAGCCAGCUUAACUGCAAGACAUACAAGUCAAGCAGGGACGAAAGUCGGUCUUAGUGAUCCGGUGGUUCUGUGUGGAAGGGCCAUCGCUCAAAGGAUAAAAGGUACCCCGGGGAUAACAGGCUGAUCUCCCCCAAGAGCUCACAUCGACGGGGAGGUUUGGCAC
This 539-nucleotide ribosomal RNA is filed under the name Campylobacter felis. Its description in RNAcentral is "partial 23S ribosomal RNA". It matches the Rfam family "Bacterial large subunit ribosomal RNA", at positions 1987 to 2524 of the family's 2925-position model. The record is from RNAcentral. Lineage: Bacteria; Pseudomonadati; Campylobacterota; Epsilonproteobacteria; Campylobacterales; Campylobacteraceae.